AACCGAUAUCACAAACACCUG
RNAcentral lists this unclassified non-coding RNA (21 nucleotides) under Mus musculus (house mouse). RNAcentral describes it as "oocyte_clustered_small_RNA5311". Lineage: Eukaryota; Metazoa; Chordata; Mammalia; Rodentia; Muridae. The record is from RNAcentral.